CUUGUACACACCGCCCGUCACACCAUGGGAGCGGGUUCUGCCAGAAGUAGUUAGCCUAACCGCAAGGAGGGCGAUUACCACGGUAGGAUUCGCGACUGGGGUG
Molecule: ribosomal RNA, 103 nt
Filed under: uncultured bacterium
Lineage: Bacteria
Description: partial 16S ribosomal RNA
Rfam family: Bacterial small subunit ribosomal RNA
Source: RNAcentral